RNAcentral lists this ribosomal RNA (1447 nucleotides) under uncultured bacterium. Its description in RNAcentral is "bacterial SSU rRNA". It matches the Rfam family "Bacterial small subunit ribosomal RNA". The record is from RNAcentral.
GAUGAACGCUGGCGGCGUGCUUAACACAUGCAAGUCGAACGGUGAAGGCGGAGCUUGCUCUGCUGGAUCAGUGGCGAACGGGUGAGUAACACGUGAGCAAUCUGCCCCUGACUCUGGGAUAAGCGCUGGAAACGGCGUCUAAUACUGGAUACGAGCUUCCACCGCAUGGUGAGUUGUUGGAAAGAUUUUUCGGUCAGGGAUGAGCUCGCGGCCUAUCAGCUUGUUGGUGAGGUAAUGGCUCACCAAGGCGUCGACGGGUAGCCGGCCUGAGAGGGUGACCGGCCACACUGGGACUGAGACACGGCCCAGACUCCUACGGGAGGCAGCAGUGGGGAAUAUUGCACAAUGGGCGCAAGCCUGAUGCAGCAACGCCGCGUGAGGGACGACGGCCUUCGGGUUGUAAACCUCUUUUAGCAGGGAAGAAGCGAAAGUGACGGUACCUGCAGAAAAAGCGCCGGCUAACUACGUGCCAGCAGCCGCGGUAAUACGUAGGGCGCAAGCGUUAUCCGGAAUUAUUGGGCGUAAAGAGCUCGUAGGCGGUUUGUCGCGUCUGCUGUGAAAUCCCGAGGCUCAACCUCGGGUCUGCAGUGGGUACGGGCAGACUAGAGUGCGGUAGGGGAGAUUGGAAUUCCUGGUGUAGCGGUGGAAUGCGCAGAUAUCAGGAGGAACACCGAUGGCGAAGGCAGAUCUCUGGGCCGUAACUGACGCUGAGGAGCGAAAGGGUGGGGAGCAAACAGGCUUAGAUACCCUGGUAGUCCACCCCGUAAACGUUGGGAACUAGUUGUGGGGUCCAUUCCACGGAUUCCGUGACGCAGCUAACGCAUUAAGUUCCCCGCCUGGGGAGUACGGCCGCAAGGCUAAAACUCAAAGGAAUUGACGGGGACCCGCACAAGCGGCGGAGCAUGCGGAUUAAUUCGAUGCAACGCGAAGAACCUUACCAAGGCUUGACAUAUACGAGAACGGGCCAGAAAUGGUCAACUCUUUGGACACUCGUAAACAGGUGGUGCAUGGUUGUCGUCAGCUCGUGUCGUGAGAUGUUGGGUUAAGUCCCGCAACGAGCGCAACCCUCGUUCUAUGUUGCCAGCACGUAAUGGUGGGAACUCAUGGGAUACUGCCGGGGUCAACUCGGAGGAAGGUGGGGAUGACGUCAAAUCAUCAUGCCCCUUAUGUCUUGGGCUUCACGCAUGCUACAAUGGCCGGUACAAAGGGCUGCAAUACCGUAAGGUGGAGCGAAUCCCAAAAAGCCGGUCCCAGUUCGGAUUGAGGUCUGCAACUCGACCUCAUGAAGUCGGAGUCGCUAGUAAUCGCAGAUCAGCAACGCUGCGGUGAAUACGUUCCCGGGUCUUGUACACACCGCCCGUCAAGUCAUGAAAGUCGGUAACACCUGAAGCCGGUGGCCCAACCCUUGUGGAGGGAGCCGUCGAAGGUGGGAUCGGUAAUUAGGACU